CCAGUGUCUAACGGUUCAUUUAAAAUAUGGAUAUUUUUGUACAAAGAUAAUUUGCCUUUAGAGUGUACAGUCAUACAGCGUGGGCUUCUGAGCUACUAACUAAUGGGUAUCUGUUAUUGUCAUUUGUAUUUCUGAUCUCUAGAGUGGUAUGGAUAAAGAAGGUCAAAAUGGUCUCUGAUGAAAAGAAACUUUUAAAAUGCUUGGAAAAGUUAAUGAAUUAGAUUUCCCUGCACUUGAAGAUAUUAGGAUUGGGAGAUCAAGACUCCCAUCAGCCAAAUCAAGAAUAUUCACAGUUGACAGGAAAACUCAAAGUUUCUUUUUCCCCACCAGAGAAAUGUCUCCCACCACCAUAGCUAAACAGUGAAAUCCGAAGUGGGUAGAGCGUGCCUUUUUUUUUCCUUUGAGCACUUCCAGCUCAAUCAAGAGACAAGCAAUUUUAAAUAAAGAAGAACCCCGUUGCCAAGAAUCUUUAGAUCAAUGAUCAGGAAUAUAUGAUAUUUUAUAGUUCAAAUAUGUAUCAAACAUUAUGAUGAUGAUAAAUUUACUAGAUAUAUUCUUACAGCUAUAUUUGAUUUUGGUUAAUGUAAGCAUUAACCAAACUCUCUUAUCUUUGAAUUAAUUAUAAUUUACCAGAAAAUCUGUUUUAUGGUAUAUAGAGAAUAGUCCCAGCAUCAAUAUUUUGAUAUGCCUGGAGCCUAGUAAGUUCAGGCCUGAAAAUAAGUGGUAUAUAGUUUGUCUCUCUUUCUCAUUACUCUUUGGUUUCAGUUUUCAUGGGGACUUGUGUUUGAGGGGCUAAUUGUGACCAUACAGGUCAUUGGGAGACAGAUGUUCUUUUGGGAAGAAAAACUAUGAAGCUGAAAAGCAGAAAGCCUACUGUCUACCACUGUAAUCAAGAUAAUCCACAAAGUACACUCAGUGGGAAGGGUAAAAAUGCUUUAAAGAAAAAAAAGCCUAAACAAAACACAUAGCAUACUUUUCCAGCUGCACUAACACACCUAUACUCAUUAGCUGGGCUCAAUUUAAGACUUUGAAAAAGUAGUUACGGAAGAAGAAACAUUCAAGUGAUUUGCUUUUUAAGGGUGAAUACCUACAAAGCUGCAGAGAGGAAAAUCUCAUGGCAAAUGUGAAUUGAUAAUCACUUGUGUGCAUCUAAAGGGCAGGGGAAGCCAUAUCCAAUUGUAGAGAUGUGUUAGCUGUUGGCCUCUCAAACUGUUUGCAGGCAUACUGUGAGUACUGCUUUUUCCUAUCAGUUUGACACCUCAGCAGCUCAGAGCUGAUAGGAUUCUUCAUCAAUCACCUUGAUCACAAUGGCUAUAUGGACAGGGGAUUUAAGAGAGCUGAUCUACUCUGUCACUUUGGGCUAUGUGAAGAACAUUGUUCUUUUUUUCUUUCUUUUCUUUAGGCCAUCUCAUCCAUCAACCAAACUACACAACAAUUGAGACCUAAAACUAAAAAACACAUAUAAUGACACUUGGUUAAAUUAUUGGGCACUGCUAAAUCCACAAGGAAUCGGACUAACCAUUCAAUUUGUUUUAAAGAAUCAGCCCACCAGUGGUUAGAUACUCAUGUAAACAAAUGGGUAUUUGGCAUCGUGCAUCAUGGAAUUACAGUUUGAUAUUAAAGAGACUUCAAAUAUCCAGUGUCACAG
RNAcentral lists this long non-coding RNA (1648 nucleotides) under Pan troglodytes (chimpanzee). RNAcentral describes it as "lncRNA (ENSPTRG00000053816.1)". The record is from RNAcentral. Lineage: Eukaryota; Metazoa; Chordata; Mammalia; Primates; Hominidae.